AUUGAACGCUGGCGGCAUGCCUUACACAUGCAAGUCGAACGGCAGCGGGCCCUUCGGGGUGCCGGCGAGUGGCGAACGGGUGAGUAAUGCAUCGGAACGUACCCGGGAGAGGGGGAUAACCGGCCGAAAGGCUGGCUAAUACCGCAUGAACUCGGAAGAGCAAAGCGGGGGACCUUCGGGCCUCGCGCUCUCGGAGCGGCCGAUGUCCGAUUAGGCUAGUUGGUGGGGUAAAGGCCCACCAAGGCGACGAUCGGUAGCGGGUCUGAGAGGACGAUCCGCCACACUGGGACUGAGACACGGCCCAGACUCCUACGGGAGGCAGCAGUGGGGAAUCUUGGACAAUGGGCGCAAGCCUGAUCUAGCAAUGCCGCGUGGGUGAAGAAGGCCUUCGGGUUGUAAAGCCCUUUCGGCGGGGAAGAAAUCGGUCAGGCGAAUAGUCUGGCCGGAUGACGGUACCCGCAGAAGAAGCACCGGCUAACUACGUG
RNAcentral lists this ribosomal RNA (485 nucleotides) under uncultured bacterium. RNAcentral describes it as "partial 16S ribosomal RNA". It matches the Rfam family "Bacterial small subunit ribosomal RNA", at positions 28 to 507 of the family's 1533-position model. The record is from RNAcentral.